RNAcentral lists this long non-coding RNA (1140 nucleotides) under Phascolarctos cinereus (koala). Its description in RNAcentral is "lncRNA (ENSPCIG00000008855.2)". The record is from RNAcentral. Lineage: Eukaryota; Metazoa; Chordata; Mammalia; Diprotodontia; Phascolarctidae.
GUACAACAUGAGGACAUACAAUCUGUCAUCAAAGAUGGGCCCAGGGGUGCUGGGGAAGAACUGCGGAGGAAGUGGCUUCUUCCUUGAUUCACUCCUCACCAGGGAGACUUUUCUGACUUAUUUCUUCCUGUGGAGUCUCCCCCCAGUGAUGCCAUCACCAUUGGAGGAAAGGCAUCAGAGGUCUCAAGGAGGUCCUCCAAGGGUGAGUCACUUUGGCUGUCUGGGCCUCGGGUUCUUUUGGAAGGAGACUGAGCCCCAGAGGAAUUUUCAAGGGGAAACAGCAAGACAACAGCUAACUGGCCAAAAACAAAGUGUUUUCAGGGCAGCAACGGGCAGGACACCCAGAGGACCCCAUUUAUCCUACGGACAGGCUGGUAAUUUCAUUUACACAGAGGAAUUUGUUCCCAAGUCCCCUGUAAUCAAAACUAAAUCCAACUGGGGAUUAAUGGAGGCAAAGAAGACAGGAGAAUAAGGGUUAGGAUUAUGAACUGAAAUAGGAAAUGGCAAAACACUCCAAUAUCUUUGCCAAGAAAACCCCAAAUGGAGUCACAAAGAGUUGAACCCAACUGAAAAUGUUUCAACACCACCAAGGAACCACAAAGAUGAAUUGGGUCUGGAUAGAGUGCUGGGUUUCUCCUCCUUGGGCUACACAAUAAGAGGUGAGUCAAGUUGUUACCAAACACUGAAGUCAUACUCUGUUCCCUUUGCUCUGCACCCCCAGGGCCAUGAUUAUUGGAACAGGUGGGAGCGGUUUCCUCCUCCAUGGGACUGGCUUGGACUCUAGGGAAUCCUAACAUCCUUUUUAGGUCUGAAACUCUGCUCCCACUGGUGAUACUCAGGAGGCUGACCCUACCAAACUCCUUUCUCUGGCCCCAUUGAAAAGUGUGUCCAGCUCCUUUAAAGAUGAAAGAUUGUUUUAAUUCAUGUUUGGCUUUCCUUGACUAAACUCAGAAGUUGCAUAAGGGCAGGGUGACCGUGAAACAGCCCUGGGGGUUUCAUGUACUUCAAGCUCUUUGAAUCAAAAGCUGGUUUGGCAGCCAAAAAAACCCCCAAAACCUUAAUGUGAUCUCAAGAUGCAUCAGGAGAAGCAGAGUGUCCAGAAUGAGGGAAAUUAUGAUAGCCCCACAGUCCCAGGCCCAG